This 1398-nucleotide long non-coding RNA is filed under the name Linum usitatissimum (flax). RNAcentral describes it as "long non-coding RNA (LUSI_LNC007512)". Lineage: Eukaryota; Viridiplantae; Streptophyta; Magnoliopsida; Malpighiales; Linaceae. The record is from RNAcentral.
GGAAAAGACGUGUUAAUAUCAAUUCAAUAACCUGAGUAUAUAAAUGAAGUCCUUUGAUAUUUGCAUAAAAUUAAUAAAUGAUCCCAAGGAAUAUGUCAGGUACGAAAUGGUAAGUCAAGAACUUGGUUUAGCUUCAACGUCCCCUCUUCUUGGCUUUUCUCAAUUACCACUCAAGGAUGCAACCUGAAUCUGGUUCUUCAAAAUCCAACGUCACCUCUUAUUAGCGUGUUAUACAUCAGGUUAAGAGCCUGAAUUGUUAAGGAUAUAUGAUCACUAUUCAUGACUUCUAAUCCAAAUCAGACACAGAGGAAGUAGGUAUUAUCAGUGAAGAACCUAUUUCAUUCUCUCUUCAAAAAUGAAAACCCAGGAACUACAGAUUCAAAUGGCACCAACAAACCAAGUUAGUAUUAUAUCCUUCUAACUUCCAAACCACAAUUUGUCCAUUAUGAAUUAGGCUCAGCUAGUUCAUAUUCUGACCUCAAAUUGGUAUUGCUUUGUAACAGGUCGUGAGCAGUAUAAAUGCACAAACACCUAUAUACAUAGGUACACAUUUCAAAAAGAGUAAAACCCAAUAGCCCAUGUCAAGAGGUAGCAAUUACACUGAAGUUUGGUCGCUUGGGAUUGAUCCUACAUGGGCGGUAAAAGGUUCCACCUGAAUCAUCAACCCCUCAAAGGGAUCAAACCAUGUAUGAAGAAAGUACACUACAACAGAGACCCUAUUCUCUCAAACUCAACGCAAGAACACAGACGAACAUUCAACCGAACUGCGAUGUUCGACCGAACUGCGAUUUUCUUUUCCUUACAACUCAUAAUCUGAUAUAAUCCAGUCGAAUUUCCCUUUUGACCAAUUGGGUAUGCAUUUUCUCAAUCGUUUAACAUCAAACAUCUCGAGGCCACAUUUCAAUAGCAUGUGCAUCACAACAUAAACAAAAAAUCAGAAUCUUACCUAACCCAUAAUCCGGUGAUCUCAUCUCCAACCCAUGGAAUUCAAUACGGAAACCAAUCUUGAGAUGGGAUAUCUCCCAAGUCUCAAUGGCAUCGGACUUCAAUGAAAGAAAAUCAUAGGCUCCCGGACUCGAUUUCCACUGGAACCCAAAAGCGGCAAGCUUACGUAGAAUCAAUUGUGGUGGAUAAAAAGAAACGAAGAACACUCACUGUGUAGACGAUUCUUACCAGAUCGAGUCAUUGAUUUCUCAUAGAGAAGGGAUGAUCCCAGUUUCCAGUUUCCCGACCUAGAAUCAAUCGGUUCCUGAUUCCAGUUUCCGCGUGAGCAGAGGAAGAAGACUGCUGUUGUCGGCAAAAUGAAGAAGAAACGGGCAGGUAGUUGUUUUGGGUUUGUUCCGGCUUCCGCAGAUGAAGAAACAGAGGGGGACGUUUAAGUGGUAGAUUAAAAAGGCG